Ribosomal RNA from Sorghum bicolor (sorghum), 119 nucleotides. Lineage: Eukaryota; Viridiplantae; Streptophyta; Magnoliopsida; Poales; Poaceae. The record is from Rfam.
GGAUUCGAUCAUACCAGCACUAAAGCACCGGAUCCCAUCAGAACUCCGAAGUUAAGCGUGCUUGGGCGAGAGUAGUACUAGGAUGGGUGACCUCCUGGGAAGUCCUCGUGUUGCAUUCC